RNAcentral lists this long non-coding RNA (644 nucleotides) under Helianthus annuus (common sunflower). The record is from RNAcentral. Lineage: Eukaryota; Viridiplantae; Streptophyta; Magnoliopsida; Asterales; Asteraceae.
ACAAUUCCCACCAUAUUCUCCCUCAUUAAGCUUUGAAAUGCUUUUUAUAUACCCUAUUUCCUCGUUGUUUCCUCACAACUAAACCAUACUUCAUUUGUGCUCCAUCUAGACUUUGCGGAGGUGACCGGCGACCACACCCAAAAGCCAACCCAAAAAAUCCGAUCCUAUACCUAUCGAUCCUCCUGUUUCCAACUACCACUAACCCAAAGCAAACCCAAAGCAUCUAGCAGCGACUAUGCCAAUGUCGUUUCCCGUUUCUUCUAUGACCACCGAGGCGUCAGAGGUUCAUAUGGUUACGAUCUUCGGUAAUAUACGGAUGAAUAGGAAUUCAUUACCUUUAUACAGUGGGCAUGAAUCUUGAUAAUUCCGGUCUUGUACCUGGGAUAAAGGUGAAACUUGGGUUUUGGGGUGAGUCACACUAACGAUUAGCCUUUUGGUUGCUUGCAUCUUGCCGCUUCAGGGUUCCUAGUUUUUCAUCCUGACCGGAUGCGAGUGUUACGAUUUUUCAUUAGUUAAUAGACUUUGAUACGUAAUUUUAAUUUGGUAUGUAUAUUUGUGCUUUUAAACUCGUAAUUAUUUGACAUUAGCUAUGGUAGUACAUAUUUGGUAUGUUUAAUGGUUCGUUUAUACUAGUCUAAUACCUU